GACGAACGCUGGCGGCGUGCUUAACACAUGCAAGUCGAACGGAAAGGCCCUGCUUGCAGGGUACUCGAGUGGCGAACGGGUGAGUAACACGUGGGUGAUCUGCCCUGCACUUCGGGAUAAGCCUGGGAAACUGGGUCUAAUACCGGAUAGGAGCCAUUUUUAGUGUGAUGGUUGGAAAGUUUUUUCGGUGUAGGAUGAGCUCGCGGCCUAUCAGCUUGUUGGUGGGGUAAUGGCCUACCAAGGCGGCGACGGGUAGCCGGCCUGAGAGGGUGGACGGCCACAUUGGGACUGAGGUACGGCCCAGAAUCCUACGGGAGGCAGCAGUGGGGAAUAUUGCACAAUGGGCGCAAGCCUGAUGCAGCGACGCCGCGUGGGGGAUGACGGCCUUCGGGUUGUAAACUCCUUUCGCUAGGGACGAAGCUUUUUGUGACGGUACCUAGAGAAGAAGCACCGGCUAACUACGUG
Molecule: ribosomal RNA, 465 nt
Filed under: uncultured bacterium
Lineage: Bacteria
Description: partial 16S ribosomal RNA
Rfam family: Bacterial small subunit ribosomal RNA
Source: RNAcentral